ACCUUCCUGAUUUCUUGCCCCACCAGAUCUGAAUCUUGGUCUGGGUGGCUAAACAAGGAGGAAAAGUAAAACUGAGGUGGACUUGGAAUCUUUAGUGUCCUUCAAGUUCAUUUCAAACACCC
Small nucleolar RNA from Echinops telfairi (small Madagascar hedgehog), 122 nucleotides. The record is from Ensembl. Lineage: Eukaryota; Metazoa; Chordata; Mammalia; Afrosoricida; Tenrecidae.